UGAGGAAUAUUGGUCAAUGGGCGCAAGCCUGAACCAGCCAUGCCGCGUGCAGGAUGAAGGCCCUAUGGGUUGUAAACUGCUUUUGUAUGGGAAUAAACCCUCUUACGUGUAAGAGGCUGAAGGUACCAUACGAAUAAGCACCGGCUAACUCCGUGCCAGCAGCCGCGGUAAUACGGAGGGUGCAAGCGUUAUCCGGAUUCAUUGGGUUUAAAGGGUGCGCAGGCGGGGGUUUAAGUCAGUGGUGAAAUCCCGUAGCUCAACUACGGAACUGCCAUUGAUACUGAAUCUCUUGAGUCUGGUUGAUGUGAAUGGAAUGUGUCAUGUAGCGGUGAAAUGCUUAGAUAUGACACAGAACACCAAUCGCGAAGGCAGUUCACAAAGCCAGUACUGACGCUCAGGCACGACAGCAUGGGGAGCAAACAGG
This 424-nucleotide ribosomal RNA is filed under the name uncultured bacterium. RNAcentral describes it as "bacterial SSU rRNA". It matches the Rfam family "Bacterial small subunit ribosomal RNA", at positions 355 to 776 of the family's 1533-position model. The record is from RNAcentral.